GCCCUCCCCCCUCUCUCGGGGGCUAAACGCCCUCACUAGUUUCGGAAGUCCGCCAAACUCCCUCCCGGUGCGUGGGGACACCGAGCAGCCUGCAGCCGCCCCAGCAAAGCGGCAGAGCUCGCUGGAGCCACGCGAUCCGGCCCUGGCUCACCUUACAGAGAAGGGACCCAUGUGCCGCACGCACCCACCCAGGAAGCCGGCACGUCUCCCGCCAGGCAGGACAUACAGUGGAAUACAUCUUACCGGGCCACUUACAGGACCAGCAAAAAUUGACUGCUGGGAGCAGAAGCAAUAUCUGAAAGAGGAACAAAAACUGUAGGAUUAUGGCAGCAGUGCUCUCUCUAUCCUGUAUAAAGCCACACCCUGGAGCUGGUAAUACUCCUUACAAAAGACAUAUUCAAGAGAGUCACAGUCCUUUGUUUAGGAGAAAGGACAAGAGGAGUUUAAUAAAGAACUAAAUUUAUUGCAAGCGGAAAAACCCCUUAGUGAAGAACUAGACACUACAAAAAUAAUGCACAAGAAAGAAAAUAAUGAAAGAAAAACAGAUUGUAUAGGGGAGGAAGAAACUGAAGAGAGGAAGAAAAUAUGGAGGCAAGAUAAAAAGGUUUAAGGAAAACUGUGAGACAUUUAAACAAAAACUGUGAAGCAAAUUAUACUGAAGGGCCACUUCAUUCACCACUGAAAUGCAAUUACCUCAGUCCCAACUGUUUGACAGUACACAAUACUGCAUAGUUUAGAACUGAAACAGUGACUGUCUUCCUCCAUUUGAAUUCGGAGGGGGGAAAUACAUGUAAGUGGAAAGCAAUUACCUGAGUUAUUUGCCCAAAACACUAGAGUUAACACCUCUGCUUUUCAAAGAAAGAUAUUGCUAUGGAAACUCUCAUAAGCACAAGUGUCCAGGACCAGGGUUUUGUGUCUAGCAGGACAUGUAACUCCAUGGUGCCCCAGUGGUAAGAAAAGUAGAUGGCACCUUCCUUAAGUCACCAGUGAAAUACCACCACUUAUUGGAAAAUUCCUAUUCAGAUACUGACAUGGUGUGACACUGGUCUGAUUGCAAGAUCCAAUGAAAACAGCACAAAGCGUUAUGGCGCAGAGAAGGUUUAAGACAAGAAAAGAGAAGGCCUGUUGAAAGAAAAUAUGGUCUCGUGACUUGUGUUUAAGGCACUUGACUGGGACUUGGGUGCCCACAACUGUUACUUAGAAUGUUGGCAUCUUCUCCGAUUUUAGAUGGAGACCCUGCUAGCUAGCUUAAUAUACAUUUUAAGACUGUAUUGCCCUCCUUUUUCUCCUCUUUCUCCCUCCGCAGUAGAACUGGUUUUAUUUUUGUUUUCUAAUGAGUCUGGUAUUGUUCAUCUGUGUACUAAGGGUAGAAACUUAUAAAUGCAUAAAGAGUAAUAACAACAUACAAUUGAUUGGAUACAAUAUUAUGCCUUGCAACAUUAAGAUAGCAAUUCAUUCCUUUUCCACAAAUGUACAAUAGACAGCCUAAAAUUUUCAAAUACUGUACAGUAGGAAAUGUUAACAACUUUUACAAAAAACACCACAGCAUACAGUUUACUGCAGACAUUGCCUAACAACCAAAUGCCAUCCAUGAGUUACUUACUGAUAGCCAACCAGUCAUGGAAUCUCUGACCGGCUACACCCCACAUUCUAACUCCCUUUCUGGAAACAUGUAUGGUUUGGUAUCUGGAGUUCACACAAUAAUACCAUGAGACUUUAGACUGUAACUACUGCAAUUCAACAGCAGCUCAACUUUGAUCUCCCAUUUUAUUUGAUAACUACCCUUGUAUGUUUUUUUCAUAUUGUUGUGUUGGACAAUACAUUAGUACCCAGAGUGAGACAGAGGUCCAUUUGUGAUGCACUACUUUGUGCCAGUAACUCGUCAGGCCUGGCAUGCUCACUGCACCUAACACACUGUUGUUAGGAUAUGUACCCAAUAGGGGACAUGUAGCAUAUCACUGAAAAACUAACACCACACCGGUCUCUAAUAUUCUUGCAUGAUGUAUGUACGAAGUGUGUACAAAGUUAUGGAUAUGUUCUUAAUAUGUUUGGCAAGCAAUGCAUAAUCACAGGGAAGGACUAUACUACAGCGGGGAUCGACGCUCUGAGACCAAAUCACCAACAGUCGAUUUAGCAGGCCUAAUAAAGACCUACCAAAUCAACUGUAGAUCUCUCUCCAGUCGACCCCUGUAUUCUACCUUUGAGGAGAAGAGUAAGGUAAUUCAACAGGAGACUUUCUCCUGUCGACCCCUCACGGUAAAUCAACCUAAGAUACAUCGACUUCAGCUACAUUAUUUACGUAGCUGGAGUUGAAUAGCAUAGGUCGACUUACCACGGUAGUGUAGACAUAGUCAUAGUCUACCCUAGACAAAGAAAAGUAUCAAGCUAAUAAUCAAGGGACAAGACAACAUAGUGUCAACACCCCAGCAGGAAAAUUUGGGCUAUAAAGAUGAGGGUCUGGAAUUCAACUACAAUAAUAUCGUAUACAAUUGGUUGUAUUAUAAAAGUGCAUCAAGUAAGGUCUAUUAUGAAAGACUAACACAAUGAAAUGUAUGCACUAACACUAUAUGAGAAAUUAUAAAUACUCACUAACAUUAUGCUUUGAAGUCUGUGAAUAAAAGGUAUUUGAACCAUG
This is a non-coding RNA of Caretta caretta (loggerhead turtle), 2635 nucleotides long. NCBI's taxonomy places the organism in Eukaryota, Metazoa, Chordata, Testudines, Cheloniidae. The record is from RefSeq and is a predicted model, not a curated record.